UUCAGUGUGAACGGAAGGGGCAAAUUCGUAAAACAGAUAAGCGUCGUCUUCGUGUAGGGUUUAGGCGGAAAACACAGACCCUGUCACCACUCUCAUCUCAUCAUACUCACCAACACCAUUACACACCAACAGCUUCUUCCAUUCCCCCAUCCAAUUCAAUGCGAUGUUGAGAAACAAAACUUGCCACUAACUUCCUCAACAACCAUUAACAAUGAGGUUCUAUUCUCGCUUCAAACACUUAUCCCAUCUCCUUCAAACCCUAACUCCACAUCAAAACCCUCCCCUCGCUUCUGCACGGAUCUCGAUCUUACCCAACGCGCAAUCCCUACUACGACCCUCUCACGCGCGUGGCUAUUGCACCGCGUCGCAGUCGCACACUUCGGAGAAGGUGGCGGCCAUCGUAGACGAGGUGAUGGGACUGACAUUACUGGAAGUUAUGGACCUGGUGGAGGUGAUGCGCGAAAAGCGCGGUGUCAACGAGCUUCCAAUCAUGAUGUUGAUGGUGCCGGGAAUGGGGGUGCGGGGCGUGCCGAGAGGUGCGCCCAAGGGCGGCGGUGGCAGCGAGGGAGGAGAGGUGAAGGUGGCGGAGAAGACGGCGUUUGAUUUGAAGCUUGAGGGUUUCGAUGCGGCGGGGAAGAUCAAGGUGAUUAAGGAGGUGAGGACCUUCACGAGUUUGGGGUUGAAGGAAGCUAAGGAUUUGGUGGAGAAGGUGCCUGCGGUGUUGAAGAAAGGGGUCACGAAAGAAGAGGCUGAGAGUAUCAUUGCCAAGAUGAAGGCGGUUGGCGCAAAGGUUUCCAUGGAAUAAUGAGGGAUCAAAGAAAAAGAAAUUUUGUCAGCAGUGAUCCUAACAACAACCAAAGUUUGAAGCUCCUAGGUUCAAUGAGAUGACUUAUCCCUCCUUUAGCCAGAUUGCUGUACGAAAAGACAAGAUGACGUACAAAAACAUGGGGUAGAGUAUUUUUUGCUUCGAUCAAGUGUCGCAGCUUAUUCCUCACAUUCAAGUUAUCGGCAGGUGAUGGAAGUCAAUUAAUGCGUUGUUACAAAGCGAAACUGCUAUCCCUUGUAUUUGAAAACUUUGCUGAGCACACUAUGCUCCCACCUCACUGCCUUUUUUUUUAUUGAUUUCUCCUUUACAUAAGGCACAUUUUACCUUGAAUUUUUUAUCAUUUCUUAACCAAUGUUGUAGAAUUGGUUUAUGACAAUGGAAUCAUUUUUGAACCAACAUAUA
Vigna unguiculata (cowpea) is the source of this 1228-nucleotide RNA transcript. It is a transcript of the gene named Ribosomal protein L12 family protein, with no coding region annotated. Lineage: Eukaryota; Viridiplantae; Streptophyta; Magnoliopsida; Fabales; Fabaceae. The record is from RefSeq and is a predicted model, not a curated record.